CCUACGGGCGGCAGCAGUGAGGAAUAUUGGUCAAUGGGCGCAAGCCUGAACCAGCCAAGUCGCGUGAGGGAAGACGGCCCUACGGGUUGUAAACCUCUUUUGCCGGGGAGCAAGACUGAGCACGUGUGCCCAGGCGGAGAGUACCCGGAGAAAAAGCAUCGGCUAACUCCGUGCCAGCAGCCGCGGUAAUACGAAGGGGGCAAGCGUUGUUCGGAAUUACUGGGCGUAAAGGGAGUGUAGGCGGUUUAGUAAGAUAGUGGUGAAAUCCCAGGGCUUAACUUUGGAAUUGCCAUUAUAACUAUUAGACUAGAAUUACAGAGAGGAUAGUGGAAUACCCAGUGUAGAGGUGAAAUUCGUAGAUAUUGGGUAGAACACCAGUGGCGAAGGCGACUAUCUGGCUGUACAUUGACGCUGAGGCUCGAAAGCAUGGGGAUCAAACAGGAUUAGAUACCCCAGUAGUC
RNAcentral lists this ribosomal RNA (461 nucleotides) under uncultured bacterium. RNAcentral's name for it is "partial 16S ribosomal RNA". It matches the Rfam family "Bacterial small subunit ribosomal RNA", at positions 338 to 795 of the family's 1533-position model. The record is from RNAcentral.